CCUACGGGUGGCAGCAGUCUAGAGGCUUCGACAAUGACCGAAAGGUUGAUCGAGCGACGCCGCGUGCGGGAUGAAGGUCUUCGGAUUGUAAACCGCUUUUGUUUGGGAAGAAGGCCUGUGUCGUGAACAUGGGAUUGACGGUACCAAACGAAUAAGCCCCGGCUAACUCCGUGCCAGCAGCCGCGGUAAGACGGAGGGGGCAAGCGUUGUUCGGAAUCAUUGGGCGUAAAGGGCUCGUAGGCGGACUAGCAAGUCUGGCGUGAAAUCUCCACCGCUCACCGGGGAGAGGUCGCUGGAUACUACUAGUCUUGAGUUCGGUAGAGGGUCGUGGAAUUUCGGGUGUAGCGGUGGAAUGCGUAGAUAUCCGAAAGAACACCGGUGGCGAAGGCGGCGACCUGGGCCUGAACUGACGCUGAGGAGCGAAAGCUAGGGGAGCAAAC
RNAcentral lists this ribosomal RNA (440 nucleotides) under uncultured bacterium. RNAcentral's name for it is "bacterial SSU rRNA". It matches the Rfam family "Bacterial small subunit ribosomal RNA", at positions 338 to 773 of the family's 1533-position model. The record is from RNAcentral.